Molecule: long non-coding RNA, 1995 nt
Organism: Tripterygium wilfordii
Lineage: Eukaryota; Viridiplantae; Streptophyta; Magnoliopsida; Celastrales; Celastraceae
Exons: 3
Source: RefSeq, a predicted model, not a curated record
AAACAAAUCAUGCAAAAAAUAAAAAAGCGAAACCUAAAAAAAUGCCAAAAGACUCAGAGAAGUAAUUGAGAUUCUCGGCGUUUCUUCUUCUGGAAAUCACCCUGCUCGGGUAUUUCCACUCUCUCGUUCUGACUACAGGAAAACUUGAAACUCUGCGUGUUUAGAGGAGAAGAGACUUGACCGAACCCGUUCGCAAACUCUCGAGAGCUCUCCUCUUUGUGUGGACGCCCUUUGAGUUAGGGUCAAUUAAGUGCAUUAGCCAUCAAGCAUGUUUGGUCGGUCGGGCCCCAAAGAAGAGUGAUAAUUCCAAGUACGAUGAUGAUCUUGGUGUCUCUAAAAGUGCAAGUCAAGAUGAACUGAAAAAUACAGGAGAAUGUUCUUUAGCUGACGAGAUCAUGUCGAGUGCUAUCAAGAUCAACUCAGUGGAGGAUGCCAUGACCAGGAGGAGGGCGGCGAAGAAGAAACAUGGUUCUGCUAGGAAGUCGACUGAGGUGGUGGUUCUCCCAAAGGAGGUUCCUGUGGGGGUUGCCGACUGCAGCUCUAUUCACAUCUUCCAGGGCUUGCAGGCACACUUUUAUUUGAAGCAGGAGGUGUCGAGCUUGACUGGGAGAGUGAAGAGUCUUCAAAACUUAAUGAAGGAAUUCAAGGAAGGCAAAUCUGGCGAAUAGCGUCCGGAUAUAUGAGGCCAUUGCUAACUAUGAAGAACUGCUAAGGAUGAAUGCUGAUAGCAUGACUUCUGAAUGAGGAUGAAUACACAUGUAUCCAACACUUUUGUGGAGCUUUUUCCUGAUUAGCAAUGAAGUCUCCUUUUUUGAUAGGUGCUGCUGUGUUCAUUUUGUGAGAAUCCUGACUUGAUUAAUUCAGAGAAGUUUUUUCUUUAAAAAUAAAUUUGAAUGAUACAGUUUUUACGUUUCUAGAUUAUUGACUAUUUGACAUCUUUUCUGAAUUGUGGGGUAUAUAGAAUAUAGAUUGGAGUUCUGAAGUGUGUGUUUGAUGCAAGAAUAUCUAAAAGUAGUACAGAAAUAAACUCUUUUUUUUUUGUAUGUCGUAUUAGUCGGGGAUGAUAAUUGAUUAACGUUUUCUUCACAUUCUCACCUUGUUGUCCGCUGGCAAAAUUGUUGCAGAGUUAAACUCAAAAGAUUGUCGAACUUGUGUUUCUAGAAGGGUCAUUCACUUCUUUUUUUACAGUCUUGUCUUUUGUGUAUCAGUUUCAAAGAGUUGGCUCAUGCUUAUGAAGUUCUGAUUGAUCCUGAGAAGAGGGAAAUCUAUGAUCAGCAUGGUGAAGAUGCUCUUAAGGAAGGCAUGGGUUGAGGAACUCGUCUUGAUGGUAGGCAGCUCGCCAGCUCCUGAUCAAGUAAAACCCUGGAGAGGUCAUAAAACCUGGUAAUGGCCAAUGACAUAAACAAUACCCAUGCACAAGACGCCCGCAGUGUGUCGGGGACACGCAAGAUGUAAUGGCCAAUACACUAGAUAAAAUUUUCUUCUUUAAAUGCUGGAUGUUCAAUUGUUCUUUUGAAUUACUUGAAUGCAGGUCAAGCCAAAGCAAUCACUGAUGAGUGAAUGCCUCAAUAGUCAAUACCAAAGUCCUUCCAUUAAAGGGAAGCUUAAUUUAUCUUUUCAAUGUGGAGUUCCCAGAUUCAGGGUUUCUCAGCCCUGAUCGGUGCCAAAACCUGGAGGCAAUACUCCCCCCAAGGCCAAGCAAACAGCUUUCUGACAUGGAGCUGGAUGACUGCGAAGAGACCACUUACCUUGCACGAUGUCAGCUCUGAGGAGGUGAAUAGGAGGCAACAACAGCAGCAGUUCCACCGGCAUAUGAUGAAGAAGAAGAAGAUGAUGAUGAUGAACAAUCGUUGCCUCGAGUGCAGUGUGCCAAGCAGUAAGCUGACCAUAAUCUUUUGUCCGGCAUCUUAACUGUAUGUUUGUUUGCUUUGACGUGCAAUUGUAUCAGCAAUUUUAGUAAUCUUUUUCAUUAAGCUAAUUUGUUAGUUUGUAGCA